This 385-nucleotide ribosomal RNA is filed under the name uncultured bacterium. RNAcentral's name for it is "bacterial SSU rRNA". It matches the Rfam family "Bacterial small subunit ribosomal RNA", at positions 30 to 417 of the family's 1533-position model. The record is from RNAcentral.
AUUGAACGCUGGCGGCAUGCCUUACACAUGCAAGUCGAACGGUAACGGGCCUUCGGGUGCCGACGAGUGGCGAACGGGUGAGUAAUGCAUCGGAACGUACCUUUCAGUGGGGGAUAACGUAGCGAAAGUUACGCUAAUACCGCAUAUUCUGUGAGCAGGAAAGCAGGGGAUCGCAAGACCUUGCGCUGAUUGAGCGGCCGACGUCAGAUUAGCUAGUUGGUGAGGUAAAGGCUCACCAAGGCGACGAUCUGUAGCGGGUCUGAGAGGAUGAUCCGCCACACUGGAACUGAGACACGGUCCAGACUCCUACGGGAGGCAGCAGUGGGGAAUUUUGGACAAUGGGGGCAACCCUGAUCCAGCCAUGCCGCGUGAGUGAAGAAGGCCU